CCCAGCUUGAACCCAGAGACCAUUCAGUCAGUGAGCAGAUGAAAACAACUGCUGGAGAGGCGAGGAUGGGCAGUAAUUACAACCCCUGCUCAUUGCUCAACAGCAAGUAUCUGGAGUUCACUGUUCCAGUGAGCCUGGUGGGCCAGCAACCGCUGGGAUCUGCUCUUUCCCUCAUAGCCCUGGAGCUGCAGGGGUGCUCUGCUCCUAGUUUUCAUUGAGAGUGUCGGAGAUCUACACUCGGGUCCUCACCCCUGCACAGCAGGAAAACUCUUCAAGCAGGGAGAUAAACAACCCAAAACAGCUUCAGAAAACCUCUGAAACAGCGUCUUCACUAGGCUUCUCCCUCUCAGAGAAGCCAAGCUGCAAAGAAGAUUCUGAGAC
This is a long non-coding RNA of Chionomys nivalis (European snow vole), 381 nucleotides long. RefSeq lists it as uncharacterized. The record is from RefSeq and is a predicted model, not a curated record. The transcript has 3 exons. NCBI's taxonomy places the organism in Eukaryota, Metazoa, Chordata, Mammalia, Rodentia, Cricetidae.